CACUAAGUCACUUUGUCUUUAUGGCAAAUGUGAGAUGCAGUGUAUGGAAUGUCAAAUUUCUAGUAUGAGAAAUUAACGAUUUAAGUCCUUCUUAAAUGAGGCCAUUUACCCAAAGAGGGUGCCAGGCCCGUAUAACGUUAAUGAUUACUAGAUGGCAUUUCCAAAGAGUCGUGUUGCUUGAUAGUGCAGCACUAAGUGGGUGGUAAACUCCAUCUAAAACUAAAUAUAACCAUGAGACCGAUAGUAAACAAGUACCGUGAGGGAAAGUUGAAAAGAACUCUGAAUAGAGAGUUAAAUAGUACGUGAAACUGCUUAGAGGUUAAGCCCGAUGAACCUGAAUAUCCAUUAUGGAAAAUUCAUCAUUAUGAUUUUAAUAUUUGUAAUAUUAUAAUAAUGGUGUGCAUUUUUUCUAUAAAGGACAUUGUAAUCUAUUAACUUUAAUAUAUUUAUCAUAAGAUCAUUAGAUUAUGUUUAUUCAAAUUAUUUUGCUUGCAAUUUAAUAUCGAAUAAAUUCUUUUGAUUUGAUAAAGUGUUGAUAGAUUUAUUAUAUACAGUGCUUAAAUAUUUAUAUUUUAUAAUAUCAUAUUAAUCAAUGAUUUUUAUGUUCAUUAUAUGCACUUGUAUGAUUAACAAUGCGAAAGAUUCAGGAUACCUUCGGGACCCGUCUUGAAACACGGACCAAGGAGUCUAACAUAUUUGCAAGUUAUUGGGAAUAAAAACCUAAUAGCGAAAUUAACAUAACUUUAAUGGGAUUAGUUUUUAGCCUAUUUAUAGUCUAUUAAUUCAAUCCCGGGGCGUUCUAUACAGUUAUGUAUAAUAAUAUUUAUAUUAUUUAUACCUCUAACUAGAGCGUACCUUGAGCAUAUAUGCUGUGACCCGAAAGA
Molecule: ribosomal RNA, 884 nt
Filed under: Lucilia cuprina (Australian sheep blowfly)
Lineage: Eukaryota; Metazoa; Arthropoda; Insecta; Diptera; Calliphoridae
Description: LSU rRNA
Rfam family: Eukaryotic large subunit ribosomal RNA
Source: RNAcentral